Long non-coding RNA from Anastrepha obliqua, 1918 nucleotides. RefSeq lists it as uncharacterized. The record is from RefSeq and is a predicted model, not a curated record. The transcript has 4 exons. Lineage: Eukaryota; Metazoa; Arthropoda; Insecta; Diptera; Tephritidae.
UAUUCACGGCUUUUCUAAGUACAGCUGCAUAUCUAUGGCAACUGCCGCGCUGAAAUUUUUGCAAUUUAUAAAUGCAAUUUAGUUGUUUGGUUAAUAGUGCAUAAAAAUUUAUAAAUCUAAAGUGUUUGAUACAAGCUUGGUUGCUAAAACGAUAAAAUAAUGAUAAAAAUAAGUAUGGCACGUGCAUUCAUAUACCAGUUUGUGAAGUUAGAUGGCGAGUUUUGCCAACAAAUAACUUAAGAACUCGUAUUAACUGAAUAAUGGUGGUGUUAAUUUUAGUGACAAAACGUGAAACCAACAUUUCCUUACAAUUUCAUUGAAGCACUCCUAAGGUUUCUUAUAAAACUGUGAAGGGUGCAUUUUACAAACGCACAAACUUAUUUUGCUGAACAAAGAUGGUGAAAUGCGAAAUACUAGAAACAUAAUUGAACGAAACGCGUGAGCCCCGAAGAAUAGAUGGAUAGUCAUAUUUUAGGCAAAAUUACUGUUUCGAUAUUGCGUUCUGUUUUAUAAGUAACACCAGUCGUCGAAUAAUUAACUAGCAUCACUUUUGCUAAUUUUUUGCACGAGGUUACUCCCCGUUAAGUUUCAAUUGUUGUGAUCAAAUAACUCUGAACAUAUCAAUAUGCCCCUUGCAGUCUAAAAAAAAAUACGAGAUCUAUUUUUGUAUUUUCUUAACUUCUACAGUUUUUUGGAACACUCACAAUUGCCAUUUCAAAUCUUACUGGUAGUCUUCUUCUGCCUAUCGUUGAAUGCCGACUGGCGAAGUCGUCGAAAAAUGAUAUCCACCAAUCGAAGGAACUGUGCAUUUAAGAUCCUUUUAAUGUAGCACAUUCAGUGCGACCAGUGUAUGAUUGCGAAACUAUUAAACGUGCCAAAGUAAUAUUUGUGGCUUCCUGGCCAACAUUACAACAAAUUCUCGUUUUAAAUUCUAUGUUUGCUGAAAUUAUCCAACCAAAAUAAGGCAAAGUGAUCACUACGUUAAGUCAUACCGAUUUACAUUAUAAACACUGCUGUGAUAGAAUACCAUCACUCUGUUCAACCAGAGAAAACAUCGCUAUGCACUCCACUACAAAUGGGGCUGCAAAUGCUCUGGCACCAAGGUAGCAGUAAAGAUUUAUCUACUUGUACGUGCACCGAAAAAAUUAGUAUGCACAACAACAUAAAUGGGAAUGCAAAGGCUGCUGAAGGAUCAUUGGCAGAACUGGUAGAAUAAUCAAACAUAUGAGACUUAUUCGCUGUCCAUGUAUUAACGUAUGUAAGUUUAAUUAUCCAAAGAAUUUGUCUAGUUAAUACAAAAUUUUGGUAAAAUAUCACAAUUGGGAAUUGUUACCAAAAGUCUAGCUUAGUGCAUUAAAAAUGGGUUAGAUUUUUCACUUUUAAUGCUUCGAUCGGUUUUACUGGUUAUACGACAGCAAUGAUUUUUUUUCAUAUACUAUACUCGUACAUAUACCAGUGUUUUUAUUAAAACUUCUAUGCGUCGCGAGAUCUCAGCUAAUAAUUUUAAUUAAAUCACUAGUUUGAAUUUCACACUGUUAAAGUUAACUUAUUAUCCCACUUCUGAAUAAUGCGAAAACGCAUUAGAAAACUCCCGUUAUAUUAUGGCUUGGGCUUAUAUAAGUUAAGCAAGUCAUAUUGCUUAUAAAAUAAAACAACACUUUGUUUGAAUUAAAUAGGUACUUUAUUAACUUUAUUAUUUAAGUUGACUUUGCAACUCCUGCAACGUAACAAGAACUGUCCUCGACAGGCAAUGAUACCGCCUUUUAUACCCUCGCGAUCAGUGGUAAUCACCUGUAAGUGUUGUUGCGCGGAAAAGGUUGCUUGGACUCUACCGCUAGCAACACAAUUGUGUUGUUGCAUGCGCAUGACAAGUGGUACCGCUGAUCUGCCCACCAAGCAUGUCAACCAUGCGUUGCUA